RNAcentral lists this ribosomal RNA (392 nucleotides) under uncultured bacterium. Its description in RNAcentral is "bacterial SSU rRNA". It matches the Rfam family "Bacterial small subunit ribosomal RNA", at positions 28 to 420 of the family's 1533-position model. The record is from RNAcentral.
GACGAACGCUGGCGGCGUGCUUAACACAUGCAAGUCGAGUGGUAAGGCCCUUUCGGGGGUACGACGAGCGGCGAACGGGUGAGUAACACGUGGGUGACCUGCCCUCAGCUCUGGGAUAAGCCUGGGAAACCGGGUCUAAUACUGGAUAUGACUCCAUGACGCAUGUUGGUGGGGUGGAAAGCCUUGUGCGGCUGAGGAUGGGCCCGCGGCCUAUCAGCUUGUUGGUGGGGUGAGGCCUACCAAGGCGACGACGGGUAGCCGGCCUGAGAGGGCGACCGGCCACACUGGGACUGAGACACGGCCCAGACUCCUACGGGAGGCAGCAGUGGGGAAUCUUGCGCAAUGGGCGAAAGCCUGACGCAGCGACGCCGCGUGAGGGAUGACGGCCUCGG